Molecule: ribosomal RNA, 913 nt
Filed under: uncultured archaeon
Lineage: Archaea
Description: bacterial SSU rRNA
Rfam family: Archaeal small subunit ribosomal RNA
Source: RNAcentral
UCUGGUUGAUCCUGCCGGGACCUGACUGCUAUCGGAUUGGUACUAAGCCAUGCGAGUCAUUGUAGCAAUACAAGGCGGACGGCUCAGUAACACGUAGUCAACCUAACUCGUGGACGUGGAUAACCUCGGGAAACUGAGAAUAAACCACGAUAGAUCAUAGUGCCUGGAAUGGCUUAUGGUCCAAACAGUUUACUGCCAUGGGAUGGGACUGCGGCCUAUCAGCUUGUUGGUGAGGUAAUGGCCCACCAAGGCGAUUACAGGUACGGGCUCUGAGAGGAGAAGCCCGGAGAUGGGUACUGAGACACGGACCCAGGCCCUAUGGGGCGCAGCAGGCGAGAAACCUUAGCAAUGUGCGAAAGCACGACUGGGUCAGUCCGAGUGAUUCCUGAUAAAGGAGUCUUUUGCUUGUCCUAAAAGCACAGGUGAAUAAGGGGUGGGCAAGUCUGGUGUCAGCCGCCGCGGUAAUACCAGCACCUCGAGUGGUCAGGACGUUUAUUGGGCCUAAAGCAUCCGUAGCCGGCUUUGCAAGUCUUCGGUUAAAUCCACCUGCUCAACAGAUGGGCCGCUGGAGAUACUACAAAGCUAGGGGGUGGGAGAGGCAGACGGUAUUCAGUGGGUAGGGGUAAAAUCCUCUGAUCCAUUGAGGACCACCAGUGGCGAAGGCGGUCUGCCAGAACACGUUCGACGGUGAGGGAUGAAAGCUGGGGGAGCAAACCGGAUUAGAUACCCGGGUAGUCCCAGCUGUAAACGAUGCAAACUCGGUGAUGCAUUGGCUUAUGGCCAAUGCAGUGCCGCAGGGAAGCCGUUAAGUUUGCCGCCUGGGAAGUACGGACGCAAGUCUGAAACUUAAAGGAAUUGGCGGGGGAGCACCACAAGGGGUGAAGCCUGCGGUUCAAUUGGACUCAACGCCGGG